This 431-nucleotide ribosomal RNA is filed under the name uncultured bacterium. RNAcentral describes it as "partial 16S ribosomal RNA". It matches the Rfam family "Bacterial small subunit ribosomal RNA", at positions 29 to 507 of the family's 1533-position model. The record is from RNAcentral.
AACGAACGCUGGCGGCAGGCUUAACACAUGCAAGUCGAGCGCCCCGCAAGGGGUUCGGCAGGCGGGUGAGGAACGCGUGGGGACGUACCCUUUGGUUCGGACCAACUCCGGGAAACUGGAGCCAAUACCGGAUAAGCCCUAACGCGGAAAGAUUGAUCGCGGUAGGAUCGGCCCGCGUCUGAUUAGCUUGUUGGUGAGGUAACGGCGCACCAAGGCAACGAUCAGUAGCUGGUCUGAGAGAAUGAUCAGUCACACUGGGGCUGAGACACGGCCCAGACUCCUACGCGAGGGAGCAGUGGGGAAUAUUGGACAAUGGGCGCAAGCCUGAUCCAGCCAUGCCGGGUAAGUGAUGAAGGCCUUAGGGUAGUAAAGUUCUUUUGUCCGGGGAGAUAAUGACGUUACCGGAAGAAUAAGCCCCGGCUAACUUCGUG